GACGUACCGGGAAAAUCUUAUCUGAUUCAGGAUCAAUUCAUCGGUUACACUCCCCUGUCACCAGUGAUUCUUUUUUGCUGACAUUCUGAAAAAGUAUUGUGUAGUCCCUGUGUAAGUGUUGACUCUCAACUUGCACAUGUGAUUUUUUAACACUCCCCGGACUUCUGCAAAAAACAAUUAUUCAGUUCACUGAUUAAGAUGGAAGGGCAAGAACAUGAAAGAUAAAGGAGAAACUAUAAACAGAAGAAAUUAUCAACAAAAUAAGAUUUACAGAGGUCAACAAAGCCUAAAUGGUCAGACAUCUCGAUUUUCAUGGUCAUCAUUCACAGAUCAAUACCGAAUGGAAAACUUAAAGCUGGUAUUUUUCUCCAUAGUGUGACUUUUUUAUUAAUUUGAAAUGGAACAUGUUUUUUCCUACAUUUAUUUGGAAGAAGAAAUUUCAACAUGAUGACUAUAAACAAAAAAGAGUCAUAUCAUCACAAUCAUUGAUGCACAAGAACUUGAUCAUAUAAAUACAACAAUGUAAUUAUCAAUUGAAAAAUGGAAUGAAUGAACUAGAUAUUAGAA
Molecule: long non-coding RNA, 567 nt
Organism: Mytilus trossulus (common blue mussel)
Lineage: Eukaryota; Metazoa; Mollusca; Bivalvia; Mytilida; Mytilidae
Exons: 3
Source: RefSeq, a predicted model, not a curated record